This 117-nucleotide transfer RNA is filed under the name Rhodanobacter sp. MP1X3. Its description in RNAcentral is "tRNA-Ser". The record is from RNAcentral. Lineage: Bacteria; Pseudomonadati; Pseudomonadota; Gammaproteobacteria; Lysobacterales; Rhodanobacteraceae.
GGCGGGUGGUGUGAUGGACAACCCAGCAGCCAGGUUACUUGAUCUCAGCGAUUCACCUCGUCGGGAAGAGGAUUGAAAAUCCCUGUGUCGGCGGUUCGAUUCCGUCCCCGGCCACCA